Molecule: non-coding RNA, 90 nt
Organism: Mycena capillaripes
Lineage: Eukaryota; Fungi; Basidiomycota; Agaricomycetes; Agaricales; Mycenaceae
Source: the annotation of a GenBank genome assembly
UCGGACGUGGUGCAGGGUGCAUGCUCACUCUUCCGGAGCAAGAACAUGCAACUGAGGUGGGAGCCCCGGGUUCGACUCCCGGCGUCCGAA